This 491-nucleotide ribosomal RNA is filed under the name uncultured bacterium. RNAcentral's name for it is "partial 16S ribosomal RNA". It matches the Rfam family "Bacterial small subunit ribosomal RNA", at positions 29 to 507 of the family's 1533-position model. The record is from RNAcentral.
AGUGAACGCUGGCGGUAGGCCUAACACAUGCAAGUCGAACGGCAGCACAGUAAGAGCUUGCUCUUACGGGUGGCGAGUGGCGGACGGGUGAGGAAUACAUCGGAAUCUACUUUUUCGUGGGGGAUAACGUAGGGAAACUUACGCUAAUACCGCAUACGACCUACGGGUGAAAGCAGGGGAUCUUCGGACCUUGCGCGAUUGAAUGAGCCGAUGUCGGAUUAGCUAGUUGGCGGGGUAAAGGCCCACCAAGGCGACGAUCCGUAGCUGGUCUGAGAGGAUGAUCAGCCACACUGGAACUGAGACACGGUCCAGACUCCUACGGGAGGCAGCAGUGGGGAAUAUUGGACAAUGGGCGCAACCUGAUCCAGCCAUACCGCGUGGGUGAAGAAGGCCCUCGGGUUGUAAAGCCCUUUUGUUGGGAAAGAAAAGCAGCAGGUUAAUACCCCGCUGUUCUGACGGUACCCAAAGAAUAAGCACCGGCUAACUUCGUG